This 388-nucleotide ribosomal RNA is filed under the name uncultured bacterium. RNAcentral describes it as "bacterial SSU rRNA". It matches the Rfam family "Bacterial small subunit ribosomal RNA", at positions 30 to 419 of the family's 1533-position model. The record is from RNAcentral.
AUUGAACGCUGGCGGCAUGCCUUACACAUGCAAGUCGAACGGCAGCACGGGAGCAAUCCUGGUGGCGAGUGGCGAACGGGUGAGUAAUAUAUCGGAACGUGCCCAGUCGUGGGGAUAACGUAGCGAAAGCUACGCUAAUACCGCAUACGAUCUAUGGAUGAAAGCGGGGGAUCGCAAGACCUCGCGCGAUUGGAGCGGCCGAUAUCAGAUUAGGUAGUUGGUGAGGUAAAGGCUCGCCAAGCCGACGAUCUGUAGCUGGUCUGAGAGGACGACCAGCCACACUGGGACUGAGACACGGCCCAGACUCCUACGGGAGGCAGCAGUGGGAAUUUUUGGACAAUGGGCGCAAGCCUGAUCCAGCAAUGCCGCGUGCAGGAUGAAGGCCUUC